Molecule: long non-coding RNA, 2221 nt
Organism: Mustela lutreola (European mink)
Lineage: Eukaryota; Metazoa; Chordata; Mammalia; Carnivora; Mustelidae
Exons: 5
Source: RefSeq, a predicted model, not a curated record
UUUGGGGGCUUGAUACUGUAGGUUCGAGGCUACAGGAAAUGAGCAAAACUGGAAGAAGACUAGUAGAUAACUGCUUUUUUUGGGCUCACUCCCCAACCCCUCCAACCAGGAAUUGCCUCUCCCUUCCCUGACCCUGAAUGGUCCUUCUUCCAGAAUUUUUCUCUGUAUCCAACACCCACAGUCUCCAGCAUGGAGACCAACCUGGGACUUAAACUCAGGACCUGAGCUGACAUCAAGAGUUGGAUGCUUAACUGACUGAGCUACACAGCUACACAGAUGGGAGAUGUGACUUCCUUCCAACAUAUGGAAUGGAGCAAAGGUGACCGGCUGUCACUUCCAUGAUUAUAUCACGUGAGUCCAAAUGCAGCCAAUCACCAGCCACCUACACCAUCACCUGGCGGAAGCGGCUGAGGGAAUCAGCUGUGCACCUGGAAGAGGAAAGGCAGAUUCUGGGAUACUGGAGUCAGAAUAUGCUCAACAGUAUAAAUGGAUGGAAAGGAUCAACAAGGUCAUGGCCACAACAGCUUUUGUAAGGAGCAUAGUCUGUCUACUACCCUGAAGCCUUAGUCCUUGAGUUCCUGCUCCCUGUUCAUUCUGAAACCUGGAACGCACAGCUACAGAACAAACACUUCAGACAUAUUCCAAACACAAAGCAGUGUUUUUCAUUUCUCAGUGUGACCUGUCCUUUCCAAAUUCAUUGUCUAUGUAACAAGGCUUGCUACUGUACCGAUGAUGGAGAGCACUUUGUCCAAAGCAUUGUACAAAGCCCAGAAGUUUGGAGCCCAAUAUGCAUGGCAGAGGCCCCUCUUGAAAGGGAAGAGUCGGGACAAGACUUGAGGCAGCUGGUUCUGUAGAAAAAAGAUUCAACAGUGACCAAUCUUCUCCGACUCAAAAAGAGAACUAGGAACUAUGUGACAUGGUGAGUGGAAAGUUACGUCUGAGUUCCAGUCUUUGUUCCUUCAAGUAGUUAUGUGAUCCUGAGCAAUUGUCAGAACCUCCUCUUAUCUAACGUAAUCUGUUGAUGGGGUACAAGAUAUUCUGAAUACUAAUCCACUGCUGUUAUGAGAGAAGCCUCAUAAGGGAAGAAUUUAUGAGGUGCAGAAGAGGACAGCAUGCAACUUAUCCAAAUCUACUGACAAGAGGGUGACGCCAAGGAAGAUUUUAGAAAGGAUGCGAUGCUUUUCAGUUUUAUCAGGAAUUAAAAUUAAUUAGUGGAAUUCAGGGUAUGGGAAGAAGGGAGCAAUUUUUAAAAAUAUCUGUUGAACAUGUGUGAUAUUCUAGGCACUUUGAAUGUUUGCUGUCAGGGAACAUAAAACACCAUGAGUACUGAUUUGGGGGUUACAAAUACAUUAUAGCAAGUAGGGAAAUGAGCAAAUGCGGUAAUCUGUGAAUGAUGAUUAUCGAUUCUGAGUGUCUGUGUCUAUGUGGAAGACAUAUACUUCAACAUAUAAAUAUAUACAUGCAUAUCUGAUUAUGAACAAAAAUGUUGGAAAGAAUACCAUCCUAUCUUUGGGGAGUCAUAGCGGAGAAGAGUAAGAAAAAAGUAGUUUUGUUUAUUUUAUACAUUCUUGGUUUUAUUAUUUUUUCUAAACAACAAAGCAGCAACAACAAAACACAUACUACUCUAUUAAAAAAAAAAAAAAAAAAAGACUUACCAAGGCUAAGAAAGGACCCAAUGAAAGAGCAGAAACUAGGAAAACAAUCAGUCCCAGGGAAAUAAGACGGACAAAGCUGAAACUGUUCCACCGGACAGACCCAUCUACAGAAAGCAACAAUACCAUUACUAGGAGCAUGGACCACCAUAACUUAAGAAUAUGCUAAAACUAGGAGUAUCCCCUGAUAGUAUACCAAUCUUUACGAAGUGGCAAGAGCACAGAAAAGUCAGAAUGGGUAAAGGGUUUGUAGGAUCAGUUAAUUGAGAGGUAUCUCAAGCAUGCCUGGGUGGCUCAGUUGAUUAAGUGUCUGCCUCCGGCUCAGGUGGUGAUUCUGGGGUCCUCGGAUCCAGCCUGGCAUUGGGCUCCCUGCUCAGAGGGGAGUCUGCCUCUCCCUCUCCCUCUGACACUCUCCCUACUUGUGCUCUCCUGCUCUGUUAAAUAAAUAAAUGUUUUUUAAAAACCCCACAACAGUCACAAGGUAUCUGUUGUGCCUCAUAAAACCCUCAUGAAGCAAAUUACCAAGCUAAUAAAAAAAUAAAAUAAAGGUUUUGCUAUCAUCACUGAAA